AAAGCAUAAUGAUGAUUGUAUAUAAAAUUACUGAUAAUAUUUUGCUGAAGUAAUCAAUUACCUCCUACUCAUUCUGA
Small nucleolar RNA from Impatiens glandulifera, 77 nucleotides. RefSeq annotates it as small nucleolar RNA Z105. The record is from RefSeq and is a predicted model, not a curated record. The transcript has a single exon. NCBI's taxonomy places the organism in Eukaryota, Viridiplantae, Streptophyta, Magnoliopsida, Ericales, Balsaminaceae.